CCUGCCCCAAAGGUGUCACAGAUGUGGCUGCUGUAUCACUUGUGUGUUAGUAGGUGGCAGACAGAAGAGAGGCUAUACCUAGGCUCAGUAUUCUGAUCUAUGAAUAUCUGAAUGAUUAGUAGCCUACCAUU
Molecule: small nucleolar RNA, 131 nt
Organism: Apodemus sylvaticus (European woodmouse)
Lineage: Eukaryota; Metazoa; Chordata; Mammalia; Rodentia; Muridae
Product: small nucleolar RNA SNORA17
Exons: 1
Source: RefSeq, a predicted model, not a curated record